RNAcentral lists this unclassified non-coding RNA (897 nucleotides) under Hevea brasiliensis (rubber tree). The record is from RNAcentral. Lineage: Eukaryota; Viridiplantae; Streptophyta; Magnoliopsida; Malpighiales; Euphorbiaceae.
GACAGCAUAUGAUUAUCCUCCAUACUUGUAAGUCAGUUGAUUUUGAAAUGUUAAAGAAAAGGAAAUCAAAGUAAAAGAAGAUGCUUUCUUCUGUCUUGAAAAAAAAAUAACUAAAAAAAAAUCACAGUACAUACCCCCGUGUUACAAAGAAGCAGGCCGUGUUUGAAAUCUCCUCUCUCUCUCUCUCUCUACAUGCUGCUAAAUGGAGCCAUUAUAACCUACCUCUAAUCCUAGCUACAUAUUCAGAUUUAGUAACUUGGAAGAAACCAUAUCACAUUCUUGGCAAGAACAGGAAGAUACGUAUUAUAUAUAUGUAUAUCGAUCGCUGGUUGUGCUCUAUGGAGAUUAUAAUUUUACUUGCAGAAAUUUAAAUUUACGAGUUGCUAUUCUGAAUUGGCAGCGAAGCACAUCUAUCUUCAAUGACCUGGGAGCUCAAAAUUUUCCUAAGAGAACGAUAUUGCAGACGAACAUUCUCACCACUUCCAAUAAUUUUAAGCAAGUACCAGCCAUUGCGACACUGCGAGGUGAUAAUUGCUUCCUUUCCAACAAAUUUUUCCGGCGUCCUCCUAUUUCCCUUAAUUACUACUUUCUCAUUGACAGAAAAAGGAUACUGCACCCCCUUAUGCAAACCAUUGUCAGCAGCAACAUCUCCAUUCUCCCUGCUUGGUCUUCUCAUGGAAUCUGUUUGGUCACCCAUUUCUUUGCGACGCUUCCGAAGAGCUGCAUUAUGAAAUAGCCUACGAUCAUCCUCCUGCUUUAUAGCUGCAGCUGCAGCUCUCAAAGCAAAAUUAGGAAUCAAAGACCCAGGCUCAAUUUCUGCAUUGCAAAGGGUACAUCUUGACGUUUCAAGGACUCUUCUUAGCAUGAGACCACCAAAGGAGUGUCCGCAUGAAACAA